GCCAGGCAUGGUGGUGCAUACCUGUGGUCCCAGCUACUCAGGAGGCUGAGAUGGGAGGAUCGCUUGAGCCCAGGAGGUCGAGGUUGCAGUGAGCCAAGAUUGUGCCACUGUACUCUAGCCUGGGUAAUAAAGCGAGACUCUGUCUUUA
RNAcentral lists this signal recognition particle RNA (148 nucleotides) under Pan troglodytes (chimpanzee). RNAcentral describes it as "Metazoan signal recognition particle RNA". It matches the Rfam family "Metazoan signal recognition particle RNA". Rfam says of the family: The signal recognition particle (SRP) is a universally conserved ribonucleoprotein. It is involved in the co-translational targeting of proteins to membranes. The record is from Rfam by way of RNAcentral. Lineage: Eukaryota; Metazoa; Chordata; Mammalia; Primates; Hominidae.